CCAUCUGAUCGGGACUCAUGAUAGUGAGACUGUAUCAUGCAUUAACUGCACCUAGAGAUUCAUCUUUUAUUUUGCUGGAUUACCACUACAUACUGCUAGGUAUCACUGGUGGAUCGUGAGACUCAUGAGGAUCACUUGAUCAAUGAUCCUUGGUGGGUUGAGUUGAAAUUAUUCCAAUCUAUUGAAAAGAGUUUCAAUGAUAUUGUGAUUAAGAUCAUAAUAUAUCUCACUAUCA
Molecule: long non-coding RNA, 235 nt
Filed under: Elaeis guineensis (African oil palm)
Lineage: Eukaryota; Viridiplantae; Streptophyta; Magnoliopsida; Arecales; Arecaceae
Description: long non-coding RNA (EGUI_LNC077516)
Source: RNAcentral